RNAcentral lists this ribosomal RNA (297 nucleotides) under uncultured bacterium. RNAcentral describes it as "partial 16S ribosomal RNA". It matches the Rfam family "Bacterial small subunit ribosomal RNA", at positions 32 to 339 of the family's 1533-position model. The record is from RNAcentral.
AAUCAACGCUGGCGGCGUGCCUAACACAUGCAAGUCGCACGAGAAAGGGACUUCGGUCCUGAGUACAGUGGCGCACGGGUGAGUAACACGUGAAUAAUCUACCUCCGAGUGGGGAAUAACUGAGAGAAAUCUUAGCUAAUACCGCAUAACACUUACGAGUCAAAGCAGCAAUGCGCUUGGAGGGGAGUUCGCGGCAGAUUAGUUAGUUGGCAGGGUAAUGGCCUACCAAGACGAUGAUCUGUAUCCGGCCUGAGAGGGCGCACGGACACACUGGAACUGAAACACGGUCCAGACUCC